RNAcentral lists this ribosomal RNA (263 nucleotides) under Escherichia coli. Its description in RNAcentral is "partial 23S ribosomal RNA". It matches the Rfam family "Bacterial large subunit ribosomal RNA", at positions 2102 to 2364 of the family's 2925-position model. The record is from RNAcentral. Lineage: Bacteria; Pseudomonadati; Pseudomonadota; Gammaproteobacteria; Enterobacterales; Enterobacteriaceae.
UACUAUAGCUUGACACUGAACAUUGAGCCUUGAUGUGUAGGAUAGGUGGGAGGCUUUGAAGUGUGGACGCCAGUCUGCAUGGAGCCGACCUUGAAAUACCACCCUUUAAUGUUUGAUGUUCUAACGUGGACCCGUAAUCCGGGUUGCGGACAGUGUCUGGUGGGUAGUUUGACUGGGGCGGUCUCCUCCUAAAGAGUAACGGAGGAGCACGAAGGUUGGCUAAUCCUGGUCGGACAUCAGGAGGUUAGUGCAAUGGCAUAAGC